This 468-nucleotide ribosomal RNA is filed under the name uncultured bacterium. Its description in RNAcentral is "partial 16S ribosomal RNA". It matches the Rfam family "Bacterial small subunit ribosomal RNA", at positions 28 to 507 of the family's 1533-position model. The record is from RNAcentral.
GACGAACGCUGGCGGCGUGCUUAACACAUGCAAGUCGAACGGAAAGGCCCUGCUUUUGUGGGGUGCUCGAGUGGCGAACGGGUGAGUAACACGUGAGUAACCUGCCCUUGACUUUGGGAUAACUUCAGGAAACUGGGGCUAAUACCGGAUAGGAGCUCCUGCUGCAUGGUGGGGGUUGGAAAGUUUCGGCGGUUGGGGAUGGACUCGCGGCUUAUCAGCUUGUUGGUGGGGUAGUGGCUUACCAAGGCUUUGACGGGUAGCGGGCCUGAGAGGGUGACCGGCCACAUUGGGACUGAGAUACGGCCCAGACUCCUACGGGAGGCAGCAGUGGGGAAUAUUGCACAAUGGGCGGAAGCCUGAUGCAGCAACGCCGCGUGCGGGAUGACGGCCUUCGGGUUGUAAACCGCUUUCGCCUGUGACGAAGCGUGAGUGACGGUAAUGGGUAAAGAAGCACCGGCUAACUACGUG